GAUGAAUGCUGGCGGCGUGCCUAAUACAUGCAAGUCGAGCGGUAAGGCCCUUCGGGGUACACGAGCGGCGGACGGCUGAGUAACGCGUGGGAACAUGCCCCAAAGUGAGGGAUAACGCACCGAAAGGUGUGCUAAUACCGCAUAUGGUCUUCGGAUUAAAGGAUUUAUCCGCUUUGGGAGUGGCCCGCGUACGAUUAGAUUGUUGGUGAGGUAACGGCUCACCAAGUCGACGAUCGUUAACUGGUCUGAGAGGAUGAUCAGUCAGACUGGAACUGAGACACGGUCCAGACUCCUACGGGAGGCAGCAGUAAGGAAUCUUCCACAAUGGGCGAAAGCCUGAUGGAGCAACGCCGCGUGCAGGAUGAAGGCCCUCGGGUCGUAAACUGCUUUAUGAGUGAGAAUAUGACGGUAACUCAUGAAUAAGCACCGGCUAACUACGUGCCAGCAGCCGCGGUAAU
RNAcentral lists this ribosomal RNA (458 nucleotides) under uncultured bacterium. RNAcentral describes it as "bacterial SSU rRNA". It matches the Rfam family "Bacterial small subunit ribosomal RNA", at positions 28 to 524 of the family's 1533-position model. The record is from RNAcentral.